RNAcentral lists this transfer RNA (62 nucleotides) under Dendroctonus rufipennis (spruce beetle). Its description in RNAcentral is "tRNA-Leu". The record is from RNAcentral. Lineage: Eukaryota; Metazoa; Arthropoda; Insecta; Coleoptera; Curculionidae.
GUUAUUUUGGCAGAAUAGUGCGAUAGAUUUAGGAUCUUUUUAUGUAAAUUUUACAAAUAAUA